Molecule: ribosomal RNA, 253 nt
Filed under: uncultured bacterium
Lineage: Bacteria
Description: partial 16S ribosomal RNA
Rfam family: Bacterial small subunit ribosomal RNA
Source: RNAcentral
UACGUAGGAGGCAAGCGUUGUCCGGAAUCACUGGGCGUAAAGGGUGCGCAGGCGGUCGGGUGUGUCAGAUGUGAAAUCCCGAGGCUCAACCUCGGAACUGCGUCUGAAACUACUCGACUAGAGUACUGGAGAGGGUAACGGAAUUCACGGUGUAGCAGUGAAAUGCGUAGAUAUCGUGAGGAACACCAGAGGCGAAGGCGGUUACCUGGACAGUUACUGACGCUCGGGCACGAAAGCAUGGGGAGCAAAAGGG